Molecule: microRNA precursor, 145 nt
Filed under: Gossypium hirsutum (cotton)
Lineage: Eukaryota; Viridiplantae; Streptophyta; Magnoliopsida; Malvales; Malvaceae
Description: MIR7502 microRNA precursor family
Rfam family: MIR7502 microRNA precursor family
Source: Rfam by way of RNAcentral
UAGUAGAAAUUUUAUAUAUUUCUACUGUUAAAAAUUGGUGUUGUUGACAAAAUAACAAGAGAAUUACACGUGACAUAUCAUGUGUACCUCAUCCUAAUAUACGGGGACUAAUUUUUAACAAUAAAAAUGAAUUGGAGUUUUAAUA